CUCCAGACACUGGUCUGAGUUUCUCAGAACCAUCUGCUGCACCUUCCCAGCCAGCCCAGGCACUGCCCUCCUGACAGUUUUUCUCCACAGAGAGAGAGAUGGAAUGGAGUUCAAGCAAGGAAAGUCAAGAUAGAUCAUAU
Molecule: long non-coding RNA, 140 nt
Filed under: Parus major (Great Tit)
Lineage: Eukaryota; Metazoa; Chordata; Aves; Passeriformes; Paridae
Description: lncRNA (ENSPMJG00000010312.1)
Source: RNAcentral